GUUUCUGGUUGCGGGACAUCACCGUGUUGUUGUGUUUUGUCGAGUGAAAACUGCGGUUCUGGUCCUGCUGGGCUCCAAGUCUGAGCUUCUGCUGCAGCCACAGCAUCUUCUCCAUCCGCAUCCUGAGAGUGGAGGACGGCGAGCCGCCACCAGUCCACGCCGUCAGCGCGUUGUGUCUGUGCCACCUGGCAGGCUCUGAGCGCAGCUCCAGGACCCAGAACAAAGGAGAGGACCUGAAGGAGGCUGGAAACAUCAACGCCUCGCUGCUCAUUCUGGGCAAAUGCAUCAAGGCUCUGCAGCACAACCAGCACACCAGGCUCCUGCAGCACGUCCCAUUAAGGGAGAGCAAGCUGACCCACUACCUGCAGGGCUUCUUCUGCAGCAGCAGCAAGGCCUGCAUGGUGGUCAACGUCAGCCAGUGUGCCUCCAUGUACGACGAGACCCUCAACGUCCUCAAGUUGUUGAGCCUUAAGUUCUGAUAUCCAGUUAGAACAUCAGUUCACUCCCAAACAUUUAGCACUGCUGUCUUUGUAAAAUGAACUGAGCAGCAAUCUAAUCACAACGGGGAAGCAGCCAUUAUGUUUUUGACUCAGACGAUUCAUCAGCCUACCUUCCCUAAGAUCACCGCUGCAUGACUGAAGAACUUCCCCUGGAGCCGCAGCACCAGAGCGCUCUGAGGUCUCGGUAGAGCCGCUUGAUGUAGUCAGGAUCCAGCAGAGUGAACGCUGGACUUGCUUUGGCUUGAACGGACAUCAGCCUCCAUGAAUACCAGGUCAUCCAUGUUGCUGUUCAUUAACACCGUGCUAACUUUUCCACUGUGGAGGCUCGCCUUGGUACAUUCACAUAGCAGAGCCGUCCGCACCAAGUGACGACCCAAGAUGGUUUAAAAUGUCCUGGUAAGUUCUAAGAGGCCACUUCUUCAUGUCAUCCUCUCAGUCAUGAAUAGUUUAAGGCUGCGGCGCUGACCUGCCACUUCCAUCGCUCUGCAAUUAUUGGAAAUGUUGCUGCAACAGUUUAUCAUUUCAGUCAAGCUGAUGUUAUUUGGCCGAGGGAAGCGCUGAAACGGAAGUGGAGCACAAAAAAAACAGAAGUUGGACCCAGAGUUACUUCCUUGUUCAAAAAUAAGGUGGAUAGAACAGAGAGAAAUGUGAAAGGUAGUUUGUUGGCUUUGUUUCAGGUGGAGGUUGUGAUCUCCAGGCUCCUCCCCGUCGUUCCUCCUGCUUCCUGCAGCAGGAAGACGCUGCAGAGCAGCAGCAGCUCCCUGACCGGCUGGGAAGCCAGUCUGGAAGACCUUCAGCAGGGUGAAGACCAAGACUCCAGUCUGAUGGAGGACAGCAUGGAGGAGACGGCUGACAAGGUGAAGAAGUCGUCAUUAAUAAGAGGCUUCACCAGGUCAGUGGUUUUAGCUGCUCCACAUUUCUCCUGACAUGAAUCCACCUGCUGGGUUUCCUGCUGGAGGCGGCGCCACGUUUACCUUCAUUCUGACGUCAGAACCGCAGCUUCGUCCCUCCUCCUCUUCAUCAGCUGCUGCUGCAGAUUUCUGCAGGAAACCAAGCAGCUUGUGGUCGGCUCUGCAUGUCCAGGAAGCGGUCCGAUAAAAGCCCGUCUCUAGUUCCUAGGCUGGGCUUUUCCUGCUGGACCCGAUGGAUGGAAAGAGAUUUUGGACCUGACCUUGAACCUUGACCUUUGGCCUCAGACUUCCCUGACCUGAUGAGACCGUCAGAGAGCAGUUCUGAUUGGCUGUCAGUGAAGCUCUGUAAACAUAUUGACUUGAUCUACUUUAGUCCUCUUUCUAUUAAAUACUGACGUAAAUCUAUCUGCAGCCAGUUGAGUUUCAUCUUUUUCUGCCGGAUUUGAUCCACCAGACAAACUGUUUCUGUCUCCUGAUUUAUGGACUGAUAGAAAGAAGCUAUUUAGUGCCUGACAUCACAGCAUUGUGAAAUGACACAAUGUGUUUCUUAGGUAGAACUUUUGCUUACUAACCAGAAGCUUCUAGUAACUCUGGUUGACAUUGACAAAUGUCACAAUGCUCCUGUAUUUGUCAAAAUUCACCUGUAAAAAA
Fundulus heteroclitus (mummichog) is the source of this 2062-nucleotide long non-coding RNA. RefSeq lists it as uncharacterized. NCBI's taxonomy places the organism in Eukaryota, Metazoa, Chordata, Actinopteri, Cyprinodontiformes, Fundulidae. The record is from RefSeq and is a predicted model, not a curated record. The transcript has 6 exons.